GACCUCCGAAGUUAAGCAAUGUCGUGCCUGGUUAGUACUUAGAUGGGUGACCGCUUAGAAAUGCCAAGUGUUGUAAG
Acanthosepion pharaonis is the source of this 77-nucleotide non-coding RNA. Lineage: Eukaryota; Metazoa; Mollusca; Cephalopoda; Sepiida; Sepiidae. The record is from the annotation of a GenBank genome assembly.